This 1363-nucleotide long non-coding RNA is filed under the name Equus asinus (donkey). Its description in RNAcentral is "lncRNA (ENSEASG00005025398.1)". Lineage: Eukaryota; Metazoa; Chordata; Mammalia; Perissodactyla; Equidae. The record is from RNAcentral.
CCGGGACUCGCCCCCGAGGCGGAUGCGCCGGCCGGACCAGCGGAUUCGCGGGUCGGGGUCACGCUGGUCACUCUGUCCCUGAUCUAACCCAGGGAUGCCUAGUGAUUCAACAGUGUACGUCCCAGAAGCGAAACUAACAAGAGCACGUAAGAGAAAACAGAGGAUCCCAAAAUGAAGACACUUGCUCAAGUUCACACAGCUGUUAAGUGGAUGACAAGGGGCCAGACUUCUAAGGUGCAGAUUGUCCCUGUAGAAUGGGAAGAAGACAUGAGUGGACAAAACGACUUAGGUAUUAUAGUCACAUUUCCUUCUAGGAGCUGGGCCUUCAUUUCCCAUCAGUGGUAUUUAUCAGCCUCAGUGAGGAACUGGACAUUUCAAGCAGAGACUGGAUUAAUGCUGGACAAAGAUCUUGUACAAGGGAUUUCGGCAUUACGUGGGCAGUUUGAAUAGAAGAUGAAUGACUUCUCAGAUCUAUUCACCAUUAUAAAUGUGGCUACUCAGCAAGGAUUCUGCCUUCGUAAAUUUCCAGAAGAGCAGCAGGCACCAAGUUCUACUUUCAUGGAUAUUUCCAGACUCUAGGAGAAGCCUAUCAAGGUCUUUCGGGAGACAUCUUACUAUGCUCCACUUGGUUUGCAACCCCAGUAGGAGACUUCAGAUUGUAUAGUUCAGUGAGCAUCCACCCAAGGGUGCAGUGCCAGUUUCUUCUUUUCCAGAUACUCUCAGUCUCUAAAAGUGAUUAUCUUGCCACCCUGCCGAUCUCUUGGCUUCAUGAGGAAUGAGGAAGCAAGCCUCUAGAAAUAUCUUUCACCAAGGACCCACGAGAACACUCGCCCUUGGAAACCAGCUGCUGUGCACUAAGAAACCCAAGUCACAUGGAUGGCCACGUGUUGGCACUCUGGUUGAGAGCCCCACCUGGGCUCCUAGCUGACAGUCAGCAUCACCUAGCAGCCAUGAGACAAAGCCCACUCUUCUCAUCUAGCGAGUUGCCUUCAUAUCUGUGAGAGAGGCCCACGUGAACUGAAUUUCAUGGAUUGCGGUGGGAAUUAAAGCUGAGUCCUGACUCUUAGUUCAUGAAAAAUUAUCUGUGCAUGACGAGAUUGGCGUUUUAUACAAGUAGACUGAGCUCUCCUGAAAAGGAAGGAAUUCUGUCUCCAUGUUGCGACAUAGAAACCCUGCCUGAGUUUCUAGCCUUUGGACUCAAGACUGCAACAUCAGCUCUUGCUGGAAUUUCCAGCCUACAGCCUGCCCCACAGAUUUUGGACAUGUCAACCCCUACAAUCACAGACCCUGACUUGUUUCCCUUUGUUUUUUUCUAUCACCACACUGGUUUCCCUAGAGGACAUUGACGUUGACAGAGAAAGAC